UGCCCGGUGGAAGAGCAGCAGGGGAGCAGGCCGGCAGCAGGCUGGGCAUGAGCCAGCAGCGUGCUCGGGCCGCUGGCCCGGGAGUGGUGUGGCCAGCAGGAGCAGAGGGCAGUGGCCCUGCCUCUGGACUCGGUGCUGCUGAGGCCUCGCCCCAAACACUGCGUUCAGCUUUGGGCCUCACGCCGAGCAGGACGUUAAGAUGCUGGAGGCUGUCCAGGGAAGGGCAGUGAAGCUGUCGAAGGGUCUGGGGCACAGAUCUUAAGAGGAGUGACUGAGGGGACUGGAGAAAAGGAGGCUCAGGGGAGAUCCUGUCGCUGUGCUGUAACUACCUGAAAGGAGGUUGCAGUGAGGUGGAUGUCGGUGCUGGAGACGAAAAACUCGCUCUGGAGGGCACCACCUUCACAUUCAGCUGGAGGAGCUGCAGCCAGCUACAGCACAGUGCCCUGACGUGAGCCCAAAAGGAACAAAGGCAUUGUCUCCACAGCUCUGAGGGAAGCUCGACUGGCCCAGAGGUACCUGCAGCUGAGCCUGGCACCUCAUCACCUCGGAUAAUCUGUUGGAUGUGACUGCUCAGAUUUCUUCCUGCUGCACCCCUCGAAAAUGCUGCAGAUGCUUUGGCGACAGUAAGCCUGAAGGUGCAGCAGCAGGCAGAACCCGUGUUGCUCGCACAUGAAUAGCCUUUCAAGCCUGCAGAGCCUCCAGGCAGCUCCCUUCUGCCCCCCUCAAAGGAAGCCAUGAAAUGCAUUUGACACUACCGCGGUGUCAUUAGCCAGAACUGCCCCGGCCUCAGCCCCAUACGGUGCAGCAGCAGCCCCUGCCUCCGGAGGAAAGCACACAGCUGCUCUCUUGGCCUGGCUGCUGCUGGCAGUGCAGGAGCCCAGACAAGUGAAAAUCCCCUGCUUGAAUGAAGUGGAAGGAGAAGAGCUUAAAGCAAACUUCCAUGAGGUAUGUCAGGAAGACACAGACAUAACCACACCAUGAACGUGCUUCUGCAGACUGCUUCCUCGGAAGGAGCAGGCAGCAUGGAGUCAUCGCAGCCCUGCUCUGAGAUCUUAGAGUCUGAAGAGCGCUGCAACGUGCUGCUGCUGCAUGCCUGGAAGGUAGCAAGGAACUGGCUCCCAUAAUCACUGCAUCGACCAGGAGAAGAACCAGCAAACACUCCUCUGAGCUGGCUGGAGGUUAUGCAAGCCAAAGAGGAUUUAUUUCCUUCUUGUCUCUGCAGUGAAGCAAAUGGAACCAUUAGCCAAACACACAUCUGUUCCUCAGGAGGUGUUUACAGCCCCUGCCUUGCCAGCCCUACCCGGGUAACACUCAGGUGCCUGGGUACCUGCAGAGCUUUGCUGAAGAGACAAUAGGUGCACACUGAUGUGCAAACAGACAUCAGCUCUUCAAGCCUGGACAUGACUUGCAGCCUCCUGAAAUGUUUUUAAAUGUCAGAGCUUUCUCCUAAGGUUGUGGGAAAUCCUCUCUCCUGCGCCGUGCCGAUGGUGCGAAUGGUGAAGGGACAGGGGAAGGCAUUUAUAAUAGCAGGACAUUGUGCUCUGCACUUUGUUUUAGCGUGUGGGGGGAAUAGUAAUUGUGUUCAGCCUGGAAAUGGCUUGGGUUAGGCAGUUCAGAGCACAAGCACCUGCAGCAAAUUAAUUUGUUGUAGCAUAUUUAUUAUCUCAUAGCUUCUCUUUAGGCUGCAGCUGUUGCUAUUGUGUUAAUAAUGUUUAUCACCACUGCAUACAACAGGUUAUGGUAAUGGAGACAUUUUGGGGCGUGGAGCGUUGGUUUGGGGUUACUUCUGCAAUGCUAUGUCUGAGGCAGAAAAAGGUGGGGAGAACAUAAGGCAUAGGCAUCGAUC
Molecule: long non-coding RNA, 1846 nt
Organism: Pogoniulus pusillus (Red-fronted tinkerbird)
Lineage: Eukaryota; Metazoa; Chordata; Aves; Piciformes; Lybiidae
Exons: 5
Source: RefSeq, a predicted model, not a curated record